ACUAGCCUUGUCUGGCUCUCAUUCCUUUCUCUUUCUACACAGAGCUCUGUCCUGUCAGUGUCCCCAAUCCAAGGUCACGGCGAAACAGUGCUGCUCUUGAUAGUGGACAGGAGGAGGACCAUGCUGGCCCUGCCACCUCCUGCAGAAAGCUGCUGGCAGGUGUAGUCACUCUGUCACCCUGCUGCCCAGCAACUGGGCAGUCCUGUUACAUCACAGCCCACACACCCUCUGCCUGUCACCUGCCCAAACAACACCCCUGGCCCUGGCCAGCACAGCUGUGAUACAUGGAACUGAAGAGAGGAGAAAGAUGUUCCACACCUGGAUGUGCACCCAAAGAGAAGGACAGCGUUGUCCACGCAAAGACUCAGAUACUGAACACCCCGACAACUUUAUCGAAAUAACCCAGGUGUCCAACAUAUGGAUGGAUAAACACAUUGUGGCAAAGCUCUCUAAAAGGAUGGAGUUUAGGAAGUAACAACAGAAGGAAAAAAUAGGAGCUGGGAAGACAGAAAGAAAGAGAAGGUGGCAGAAAAAAACAGAAAAAAAAUGAGCCUCGAGUCUACUCAUCUACACAGGUGCAUCUCACAACACGGAUGGGUCUCAGAUUCAUCGCGCUGAGUGAGAGAAGCCUUGUAAAAUAGACUUGUGAGAUUCCACUUCUACAACGUUCUUAAAGCACAAGUUAACCUAAGGCAAGAGGAAGCACACAGUGGUUAUCUGGGGCCCAGGGUGGCUCCAGGCAGGGGAAAACAAGGGAAAUUAAAGAGGCUUCUAGGGAAA
Molecule: long non-coding RNA, 780 nt
Organism: Mesocricetus auratus (golden hamster)
Lineage: Eukaryota; Metazoa; Chordata; Mammalia; Rodentia; Cricetidae
Exons: 2
Source: RefSeq, a predicted model, not a curated record